GCCUCUUUAGCUUAGUGGUAGAGCGUUGCACUUGUAUUAUGCAAAGGUCACCGGUUCAAUUCCGGUAGGAGGCA
RNAcentral lists this transfer RNA (74 nucleotides) under Geotrichum candidum. RNAcentral's name for it is "transfer RNA-Thr (TGT)". It matches the Rfam family "tRNA". Rfam says of the family: Transfer RNA (tRNA) molecules are approximately 80 nucleotides in length. Their secondary structure includes four short double-helical elements and three loops (D, anti-codon, and T loops). Further hydrogen bonds mediate the characteristic L-shaped molecular structure. tRNAs have two regions of fundamental functional importance: the anti-codon, which is responsible for specific mRNA codon recognition, and the 3' end, to which the tRNAs corresponding amino acid is attached (by aminoacyl-tRNA synthetases). tRNAs cope with the degeneracy of the genetic code in two manners: having more than one tRNA (with a specific anti-codon) for a particular amino acid; and 'wobble' base-pairing, i.e. permitting non-standard base-pairing at the 3rd anti-codon position. The record is from RNAcentral. Lineage: Eukaryota; Fungi; Ascomycota; Dipodascomycetes; Dipodascales; Dipodascaceae.